GAGGGCUUAGCUCAAGUGGUAGAGCGCAUGCUUAGCAUGCAUGAGGUCCUGGGUUCAAUCCCCAGUACCUCCU
This is a transfer RNA of Camelus ferus (Wild Bactrian camel), 73 nucleotides long. It matches the Rfam family "tRNA". From Rfam's summary of the family: Transfer RNA (tRNA) molecules are approximately 80 nucleotides in length. Their secondary structure includes four short double-helical elements and three loops (D, anti-codon, and T loops). Further hydrogen bonds mediate the characteristic L-shaped molecular structure. tRNAs have two regions of fundamental functional importance: the anti-codon, which is responsible for specific mRNA codon recognition, and the 3' end, to which the tRNAs corresponding amino acid is attached (by aminoacyl-tRNA synthetases). tRNAs cope with the degeneracy of the genetic code in two manners: having more than one tRNA (with a specific anti-codon) for a particular amino acid; and 'wobble' base-pairing, i.e. permitting non-standard base-pairing at the 3rd anti-codon position. Lineage: Eukaryota; Metazoa; Chordata; Mammalia; Artiodactyla; Camelidae. The record is from Rfam.